This 355-nucleotide long non-coding RNA is filed under the name Theropithecus gelada (gelada). Its description in RNAcentral is "lncRNA (ENSTGEG00000003543.1)". Lineage: Eukaryota; Metazoa; Chordata; Mammalia; Primates; Cercopithecidae. The record is from RNAcentral.
GCCGCGGGCCGGGAGGGGCGGCGGCAUCCGCGGCGGCCGCGGGGGAGGGGCACGGCGUCAGCGCGUCGCCGGCUGGGCCGCGCCGGUGGCCAGGAGGGAGAGACAAGGAGGAGGAGGAGGAGGAGGUAUCUCUGCAUUAGCCAGAUUGGACAUAUGUAAAGGGACAUCAGUAUAUCUGGAUAAUCAGGUGUGCUUCAAGAAGACCAUAGGGAAGAACGCAUUUUCAUCUUGCUGCAAAAGUUGCAAUAGAACCUCCCACAUGCUUAGUGUUCAGUUCUGCCUACUGAGCGUCUUGAAUCUACAGCAGCACCUACAUGUACUGCCUCCACAGUGGCUGCUGAUAAUUUGCAGAUAA